UACUUCCUAUCACGUUCUGUUCACGAACAACCUCUGUUUUCCACAAUUAAUCCAGUACUUCAGAGUGUUUGUGCAAUUCUUAAAUCAUAACGCUGUUACACGUUUAAGAAGAACUUUGCCAUCCUCAUGGAUGUGGUCCAGAACUGUGAAGCAGUAUACAAAGACUCAAAACAACUGUCGUGAACUCCAGGUUUUGACCAUUUCAAGGAAAACUAUUCACAUUAAAUCUGAACAUGUGCCUUCCUUUGUCUUAAUGAAAUUUGUGCUGCCAGGGCUGUCAUAAAGCUGGCUAGAACAGCCUUGUGCUGUAAUUAGGCCCAUAUGUCUCAGUAAAGAGGCUUUGCAUGUAGCACUUCUGAAAGCAGUACUCUUGGUUUAGUAUUAAAUUGAAAUAUAUUUCCUGGAAAAUAGCAAUCUGGUGGGAAGCUGUCUGAGGUGUGCUUUGCACAGAGGAUGUUCUGUGGAACUGCAAAGGUGGCAGCUUUGUUUCUGCUCAGCUGAUACCCCCAGACCCACUGGCUGAAGAAACUCACCUACAAUGGAUCACUGGCUGUGGGAAGAAAGUCUGCAACUCUCCACUGCGCUCCUAAUUUCCCAAAGUGGCCUUUGGGGCAGGAGGAGGGAGGCGAGUGAGGCAGACAGAAAAAUGCAUUUUUUUUCACUGCAGUGAAGGAGAAGGUGUCCUUGCAAAAUAAAAUUUGGGAAGAACAAAAGAAAGAUAGGGUGUCUCUGCAAAACAAGAUAAAGAAGCUGAGUAGAAAAGUUUCAGUCACAAGGAUCUGGUUAAACAAACUUAGCUUGCGAGUAUAUGUCAGGAGAUGUUGGCUUAGCACCUGCAUUUAAAUCUGGUUUGCUGGACAGAACAAAGUGAUUGACUUCACGGGAUACAAAGAUGGUUCUAGUUGGGCAAAGCAACAAACUCGGAACCCAGAUUACAAAGUAUGUAUAAAGAAAGGAAAUGUGUGUGGGGGUACCUACUGAGUGGGAUGGCUGAUUGGCAAAUUGAGAAGAAUGUGAACCCCGAGUACCUCAGCCAAGGGGGAAAGGGGGGUACCCCCACUAGCAUCGGGGUUCAGGGAUAAAAGAGGGGCUGUGUCUCCCACUACUUCGAGAGAUCCCACAGGAGUUUGCCCCAGGGGACUCUUCCUUGACUCGACCAUAGAAAGCAGCUGCAUCUGCCGCAGGGCGGGGCUCUGUGUGGCCGCAGGCGCUCUCAGCGGUGACCGCAGCGGGAGGGGCGGGCGGCUAUUUUGCUCGGCGCCGCGCUCCCGACUUGUCGAGUGGCAGGAUGGCGGCGGUUGAUGUGCGGUGUGUGAGUGGGCCGAGGCGGCCGGCAGGCGGAGAGGGCCUGGGCUGCUACCUGAGGAGGCCUCUGCUGCCCGGGCAUGGGCAGCAGGCGAGCGGGAGUCUUGUCUGUGGCAGGAAAAGGGAAACCAAGGGAAAAAUAAUUGAGCCAGCGAAGGAAAAAACAGCGUUUUAGGGCGGGUUUGCAAAGACUGUGAAAAGUGCUGCCCUAUGUGAGGUUUUAAGUUGGUGAGCAGAGUACCAUUGUGCAUGAUGCAGGAACAUCAUUGUUACUUCACAGGCUGCUGGGAAGUAAGGGGCUGACUUACUCUUGGGUGUUUGUAUUUCCCUGUCAGUCUUUUCCCCACUUUCAUAUCUUUUAAUUUCUAAUGAAAAUUGCUUUACUUUUUUCAGCAGAGUGAAGGCAAAUGGAUCAGACUGGGGGUGGUACGCUGCCAGAAGAUACAGAGCAGAAGCAAUCAUCCUCUGUGGGAUGGAAAGUGUCAGAGUUGUUGUUAUCUCUCACAAAUAUUGAAAAUGAGCGGCAAAAGUACCUGUCACUUCUGGAGCAAACACACAUCUCUUUCUUCCAUACCAUGCAGUUAGCAGUAAGAUCUAAUAACUGGGAUGCUGCAGCAUGUAGCAAAUGCAGCUUUCUUUGUAAGAAGUCUAUUCAUAGCAGUUUUUCACAAGUAGGUAUUGCAAAGGAAAAUGCUGAGUCAUUAAGAAUAGGAAUGAUAAUCACAGACAGCUCGAUAUCUGAAGAUGUCAAACAGCUGUCUAAAUCCGAGCCAAAAAUAUAUUUUGCUGGAGGACACAAAAAAUACUAUGCUAGUGACUCACUGCAUAAAUAUAUUCUCCCUUAUGUGUUUUUGAUCAAAAAUUGCCUUCCUAUGCCGCUUUCUUUGAUCCAAGACAAAUGUUUCAGUGGAGAGAUAUUAUGCAAAAUACAAUAUUUAAGGAAAGAGAAAAGGCUCAAGACAACUUCAGAGACUCCUGUUUCCAAAUUAGGCAAUUCUGAAGUGCCAGAAAUACCAUAUGUCAUCUUCCACAACCUGAGGGAACUGCAAUGGAAACUGUAUAAAGGCACUGUGAGGAGGAAGGAGUCUAGCCGAAUUUUUUGGAGAGAAGCAAAUUACGGAACUUCUGCAAUGCUAGAUGGAACACCUGCGAAGACACACUACAACCUCCCUUUGAUUUUUAAAGAUUCAGUAAUUUUGUCAGUUUAUCCUGCAUAUCCUGUUCUACAUCUUCAAUUUAAAAGGGAGUAACUGCAGCUCAGAAGAGGAAGCAAAUAAAACUGCAAGUGCCUUAGGCAAUUGAAAAGUUAUUAUUUCUAGUGAUUCUUCAGUCUGUAGUAGUAGCUUGAACUUGGGCCUGGAGGAUAACCUUCUCACACUGUACAAACACAAUACGAUAAACUGACUUUUCCCCCCAAAGAUUUCAUUGUUCCACGGAUGUGGUCAGCCUUCAUGAAAACAAAGUUCACUUAUUUCUCUGUCUGUCCAGGAACAUAAUAAGUUGCUGUUUAUAUAAAAACAUUAUGUCUUUUCCUAUAAAGUGUAAUUCUCAGUCUAGGGAGUCUGGCUCAGUUAACUGCUUUUCAAGAUACUCCUGGUGAGGGUAAUCCCAGGAAUAGAAAUGUUCUAGGUCAAUCAGCUCACUAACCUAAAUGGGUCAUGCCCAGCCCAAAUUAAAGAACUCAAAUCUGUCCUUUCUUUCUCUCUCUGCCUUUUAUAUCUCUCUCCCUCUGCUCCUUUUUUUAUUUUUAUUUUUAUUUUUAUUCAUCACUUCUCUACCUUUUCUUCAAAUCACACUAAGGCUUUGGAACUUUAAUCACCUUUUCUGUCAAUGGCUCUUCUUGUCAGUCAUAAAUACCAUAAAUGACUGGGGACAGUCCCUCUUUCAGUUUGUUUUGCUUUGGGAUGAACCUCCCAGUUGUAUUCUUUCCCCCUCUUCCACUCUCCUUCGACCCAUCAGACUCCUCUCUUUUAGGUCCAAAUUCACACAAUUCUGAUUACAAAAGAGAUUGGUCUGCCACACCAACAACCCAGUCUCCAAGUGUUGGCAAUACCUUCUACUUUCCUGGUUGCCACUGCUAAUGAAUUUGUCCAAUUUUGGUGUUGCCUUUCCAAAAUGACCCCUUUCUUCUAGAUGUCCCAAACAGCUCUUCUCCUCAAGCUGUUCUGAGGUUUCCACUGAUGGUAGCUGCCUAACUGCACUCUUCCAUCUUCUCUUCUGCAAGCAAGUUAUUCCCUGGAGAUACAGGUGACUGCUGACAUUGUAUUUAACAGAAGAUGAAAACAGACAUUUCUUCAUGAGUGAGAUACUAAGCAUGGAAACCCUGCUGCUGCACCAGAUGGUGUUUACAAAGAUACCUACAGAAAUGGGUGCAGUUGCCUUAGCUACCCAGCCGUAGUCAUUCUCAUGGAAAUCCCACUAUGUGAGAGCUAGGUGAGGAUUUCAGAUUUACUCUAAAGCUGUAAAUUAUUCCUCUCAGCUGCAUAAGUGUUGUGAGACAGAGCUGACUGAAAUACCCAGCUUGGUUCUACUUUGCACAGCUUUUGUUGUAUCCUCACCUAGAGGCCGGCAGCCAAGUGGUGGUUCACUACUCUAUGUUUCUUUUUUAAAGAUCUGAUCUGAAACCCAUCAAAGUUUAUGAAAACCCACGGGCUUCGGUGAACUUUGGACUAGGAAUAUGAACCAUGAAAUGGAUUUCUUCUGACGUUUGAAAGAUAACUAUUCAGUGAGUUUCCUGGCUAUUUUCUGAUAAUAGCUGUCCCUGCUUUUGAGUUGCAGCUGAAAGGACACAUAACUUGAUUCCCCAGACACACGGUGCUGGGAGAAGGCAUAACUUUGGAAAAAGGGCAUGCAAAAGGGUUCUAGGUGAGGGAGGAUAAUAGAAAUUUGAUAUUUUGUUUAAAAAGAAGGGCUACACUGCCCAAAAUCAAGACUAUGUCUUAGCUGCUGGAAAAUCUUACCUUGCAUGCUUGGUGGUGGUAUCACACUGGAGACAUGUCAUCCCUUCAGAAAGUGAUUGACAAGAUGAUAGCAGGUGCUAUACUUCUGAUUCCCAAGUAACACACUCAAAAUGUGUUUUUGAUUUCAUACGAUUGGAACAGGACUUGUAUCACAAAUUAAAGCUUGUGUAGCUCUCAGAACAAGUGCUUUUAAAACAAAACGAAACAGCACUUAUUGUGCCAUUGCUUCAGUUUCAGUGCUGUCAUAAUGGCUUAUUGUUUGUAAUUUGCAGGGAGGACAGAUUUCCCAGUACACAACAAACAUUUCCUAAUGUUAAGGAGGUCUGCUUAGGUUGUCUUUAUUAUGAUGAUUAAAAUUCUUGGAUGAGCUAAAACAAGUAAAAUUUUUUGGAAGAGUUUUUGAAAAAUUACUGGAGAGAAAAGAAAUGAGGAACGCAAUCUUACCUACAUUUUGUAUCAAUGCUUUUAUUGUUGUAAUAGUUUUUACAGUGAGGAAGUUGGUACGAGUUAUUCUAAUAUCACUACUGAAACUGAGUAACCAAAAGCUACCUGGGGGAAAUGCUAUACGUUUGUUAAUGCUUUCAACAUCUUCUACAUCUUUUGAGGAGUAAUAGGCAGGAGCUGCUACGCCUCAUCUUUGUUAUGCCUAUUAGAAGUUGUGAUCCAGCUAUCAAUGAUGGUUGUGACGCUGGAUGUUUAAUUCUGAAGUGCUCCAUUCCACUUAAGGUGCUGAAACCGGCUUGUCUCACUCUGCUUGUGCACUGAAUGGGGAGCCUUGCAGUCUAACGUGCGCCUUUGAAUUCUGCUAUGCAGCAAGAUAAUUAGAAGUUAAUUCUUUAAAGCUGAUCUUAAACCUCUCCUAUUCUCACUCUGCCCCUCAGGUCACUUUAAUCAAGUUUCUUUAGCUUUCUGCCAUUUCAGGCUGAAAAGGACAGUGUGGGCUCUCACGAAGCAUGUAGAACACUUUAAACAAAAGGCACGGGGAGUUUUGUACUUUUAAGGCUGCCCCUGUCUGACCUAACAAUAUGGCAACACCAGCUCUCUUUGAUCCGAGAUCAGUACUGUAACAGGUUGCUUAGUUAGGAAUGGCUGUGCUGCCCUGGUGGUGGUGGUUUUCUUUUUUUUUUUCUCUCAUCUGGAGCACAGCUUCACCAUACAAUAAUGUCAUGGAGGUAACAGAACGCAAGGCUUUUUCUGAAUUGCGUAUAAAAUGUAAAGCCAAGGACAUUACUCACCUUAGAAAGAAGUUGCCCAUUCCAUCAGAACUUCAUAAUUGUCACCGAAAUCUUGCUUUAUCAAGCGAGAGUAACAUGCAGUAGUGGCAUGAUGCAGCAGAAGUUUCCUUCUGUUAUGCAGUGAAAUAGUGACUCACCUUACACAGAUUUGCUAAAAUAUCUAAAAUGUUACAGUAUGUACCAAUUUGUUCUGACGUGUAGCAAGUUUCCAUAGAUUUUUCUCUAAUUGCUUUGGUAAUGUUUGACAGUGAUGCUGUUUUACAUUCGUGCACUUGCUUAGAAAUUGCAGUGGGGCUUUCACUGGUUAUUCUCAGGUGUGUAGUGACUCAAACUGUGACAGUGAACAGGGGAGCGUUUAAAAGCAGAAUGUUUCAAAAACCUUUAUGAAGUUAUUUCAGUUUUUAUUAUUUUCCCAGUGAACAAGUAUAUAUUCUUGUCUUGCGAGUUUAGCUUGAUAUUUUCUUCUGUUUUGUUUGACAUAGUAGCUCAUAAUUUCUGUUGUGUUACAUGUUUGGUGCACAUAAACACGCUGGACAACUACUGAAAUCACCAGCUAAAAGGCAUGCAUGAGAACUUAAAAACAUGAAUGGGUGUACGUGCAAAAGAUUGUCACACUUCACAGUUAUGAAUCCUAUGCACUGCAGAUGUAAGGCUCUGUCUUGUUUUCUGGGGGAACUACGAAGUGUAGGAACAAGAGAUUGCCAGCUCUUAAAAAAAGUGCUACAGCCUGAAACAUAAGCUGGAGAUGUGGCAGAAAUCACAACAGAUACACUGAGAUUCACAAAAGAAGAACUGCCCAGAUUUUCUUCCAAAUGCUUCAUUGAAUUGUCUUCUGUACUGGGGGGCAAGGGGUCAUUACAUCUGAAUGUAGACAUCUGAAGAUGUCUUGGAUCCUCUUUCUCACCUGCAAUGGCAGUUACUCAGACAGGAGGUAUAGGAAAGUGUUACAGAUGUAGCUAAGAAACCCUUGGAGUGAAUGGGACACAGAUCAUAUCGAACAGUAGGCUUGCAGACUUGGAGUACUGCUGGGCCACCACUGAAAAAUAAGUGAGAACAUUUGCUCUCUCCCACAUCCUAGAAGAUUCUGGGGCAGGCACAAGUCUGUUGGCAGCAGUAGCUUGGGUCUGUAACUGUUUUUACUUGAGCUUAUCCCAGACUCGUAGAAAGUCUUAUGUUCAUACAGUCAGGGAUGAAAAAUAAUCAAUGCAAUUCGUCCCCACUUACUGCUCCUCAGGCACUGAGUGAGACAGUUUGCACUGAGCUAUGCUUCAAAGGGCUGUUGCAUUCUUGUCUUGAGUGUAUUAUUUCAAAUGCAUUAUUUUUAGAGCCUUCAAGUCUACAGAAGCCUAUGAAUGUUGGAUUAAGGCCAACUUUGGCUCCAUUUCUACAAGGGGUGGCCACAAGUUGCUGUUCAGGGUGGUGCAGGGGAUGACAUGCAGAUCAGAUGAGCUCUGAGACUAUUUUGGGUCAUAUGUGCUUUUCUGUGCUAAAGGGCAGCCAGCUUACGAAAAGUGCUUGAGUGCAGAUUAUCAUCAGAACUAAGGCAGUCCAUGGGUGUGCAAAAGCGUAUGAAUUGAUUUCAGGAGAUAGUCUUAACAGGCCACAAGCAGGCAAAAUAGCAGAGCCUCGACCAUAGCUGUGCUUCAACUGCAUGGCUCCUUCCAACACUGAGCAACAGGACUACAUCUUUUGUUGUGCGUCAUAGCCUCAUCAUUGUUGCUCUGAAUAGUCUUUUGCCUGCUGCUUCCUAUACAAAUUCAAUGAUAGGAUUAGCACUGCAAGCAUUUUUCUUUCUACCACUGCUAUCUUGUGUAUCAGCAGCCUCAUUAAAGUAAUCUAAUCUAGGAGAAAAUCAGUACAUAAUAUUGAACAAUAUUUCUUCUCAAUGGUAACUGUAGCCACUGUUAAAGAAGACAGGUGCAUACGUGCCUUAAUUUCUGUCAUGAUGAAGACAGCAGAAAAAAGAGCAAGGAGUUAUAUUAUAAGAAAGUCUGUGUCUUUCCUACUUCUGCAAUAAUAAUAAAUGUUCAAAAAACAAUAAAACAAUCCAGAGAGAGCAUUAUUUAACGUGGAGGUCUGAUGGGAUCUUAUCAUACAUAUAUCCACUGCAGCUCUACCUGCUGCCACUACAGUGUCAAGGGAAGAGCUAGAGAUGAGGCCCAAGAAGGCAGUGGAGUCAAGAAGAACUUGGAGACAGCCAACAUGGAGCAGUUUGCCUCCAGAUACAGAAACCAAAACAGUGUUGAUGUGGUUUUUUUUAACAUACUUUGUAAACAGAGUGAUCCAAAGUGAUAUCUCAUAGUUCUGCUGCAAAAUGUCAAUGAUUCAGAAGCACAGGUCAAUUGGCAAGCAAAGUAGUAGGUCUAUCCUUAUGCAGAACUGGAAGAGGUACAAUGAACUCCUCGAAAUCUAGCAUUUUCUCUCCUGUCAGUAUCUCAACUCUCAAGCUAGGAAGCUCUAGAAAAAAAAAAAACAAUAAUUCUUAUGGUGAUGAUGGCACUGGGUUUGAAUGCUGGCAGGACUUCUGACAUAGAUUUUUUCGCCUGACAGUGAUGAGCCAUGCGGAUGUGAGCUUUUGAGUUUCACCUAGAAAGAAACGGUCCCAGAGGAACCAGAGGAAGCUCCCAGAAAACUUGUUGCACUCUCUUUUAUACUCUCACUCAGUUUCCUGAAGAUGACAUUCUGGUGCUUGGGGAGAUCGUAGCUGUCGGUUAUCUGAUGCAUUUUUUUGUAGCUGUGUAAAUCAGAGUCAGUUGAAAUGUGAGAACUAUAAUAUCAGAUUAGAAUCUGUGUGUUUAUAUAUAGAGGGCAAUAUUCGUGGUAAGUGGAUAUUUGGACUAGGUGAUCUUUGAUGUCUUUUCCAACCUUAAUGAUUCUAUGACUCUAUUUAUUUUUCAUUGGGACAGGGCAGAUUUUUAGGUUUGUCUAGAACAGUCUGGAGAUCUCAGUCUCACCAUUGCUAUAAUGAGCAGCAGAUAUUAAGAUAGAGUACUGGAUGAAUAUCCUCAAAACUUUCAGUGUGCACUAUCGAUAUUUUCAUGCACAAGAUCUCAGACAAAGAGUUUAGUAAGCACCACAGGCUUUUUGUCUUAAGACUGAAAAGCAAAUCUGACAAUACAGCAACGAGUCCACUGAAUAGUACUUCUAACUGUACUGCUUAUUUUUGCAAACAUCCUAAUUUGGUAUCACCUGUUCGCCAGAAGGAACAAAAAGUGUGUGUUCUGCUAACAGGAGCAGUGACUGUGGAGAAUGUUUCUCACUGGGGUUUUGGGUGUAGAAGUAUUUGAGCAGUUGCUCACAAUUUAUGUAGUAUUGUAUAGUUCAUCUUGUUCACAUGUAAAAACAAGAGUGAAUGUUAACAACUUCAGGAAAUCCAGUGUAAAGAAAAUUCAGUAGAAGUCCAUACUAUAUGGUUAAUACCACCUGGUGGUAAUCUCCACACACUACAGUUUUUGUUCUCAGGUUAGUUUCAUCCCUUCAAAUAAUAGUGAUGCAGAAUCAAUGGAUGUAUUUAACCCUGUUGUACAGUACCAAUUCUUACAGGUUUGCAGAACUAACAGACUACUGUAAGGACUAUGUUUAGUCUGAAUCUUCAGAUUUUGCUCUGGUACCCAGGUUUUUACAGCUCAGAAACUACAAUAAUGUUGUGUCACAUUCCAAGGGUAAUACUUCCUUACUCCUGCUGCUGUGUUGGGUGUGCAGUAACGUCAUUCUCUUAGUUUCAGUGGCAUUCUGUACAUACCAUUUUUGAACUGCUGAUAGCAAAAAGAGGUUAGACUUAGGUAGCCAGUGAAUUAAUUUUGGCAGCAGCAUCAGCACAAGGGUGGACAAUUAGCUAGCAGCCCUAGUGGAAAUAAAUGUUUUGCUUUGUCUUGGUGCUAAAUCACUUGUAAAGCUGUCAUUCUCCAUUACCUUGCUGUUGUGAGCCAUGAGAUGACAAAUUAGACACUGAUGUCUCACAGGCACUAGUUCCACAAAACGAAGCACUGACUUCACAAAAGCAGCUACCAUGUGAAACUUGUGAUUUGAACCUCUGUGAAUUUAAUAGAAAAUACUUUUCAUCUUUCUAGUAGUCCUACUCAUAGACCUCUCAGCUGCUAUUUCACAAGUACAGCCAAGUCAUGCCUGACAAAUUUGGUGGUCUUUUAUGAUGGAGUUACAGCAUCAGUGGAUAAAGGAAGAGCAACUGAUGGCUUUAAACUGGAGGAGGUUAGAUUUAGACUAGA
Numida meleagris (helmeted guineafowl) is the source of this 9726-nucleotide long non-coding RNA. RefSeq lists it as uncharacterized. The record is from RefSeq and is a predicted model, not a curated record. NCBI's taxonomy places the organism in Eukaryota, Metazoa, Chordata, Aves, Galliformes, Numididae. The transcript is spliced from 3 exons.